This 2171-nucleotide long non-coding RNA is filed under the name Helianthus annuus (common sunflower). Its description in RNAcentral is "hypothetical non coding rna". The record is from RNAcentral. Lineage: Eukaryota; Viridiplantae; Streptophyta; Magnoliopsida; Asterales; Asteraceae.
GAACUCUGUUAGGCGGGAUAUCUAAUUUGUGGGCGGUAUUUCAAAAUUCAAACACGCCUCUAAUCUACACGCCAUUGUCAACCAUUGUCAGAUCUAUCUUUUCUUCAUCUAAUCUACACGCCUCUCUCUCCUUUUCUCUUGCUUUUCCCUCUUUUAUCCUAAAUCUCAGGCUUUUUCCCUCUUUGUGUUGAACACCGAUGAUUUAAAGAAAUCCCUCUCUCUGGUUAUUUUCAACUUAGAGUUUCUUGUCUCCUGUGGUAUGAGCAAGAUCUCACCAGAUCCAACAAUGGCUUGGUCUGUAAUAGUGGUCGAGGCAAGUUCCAACAACCCGAGAACUAGGGUUUUACUUUCAUGUCUGAGGUAAACUCUACUUUGAAUCAACAGAUCUAGGGUUUAAUAUCUCAUGAGAAACCCUAAAUCAAAAAAGAGAAACCCUAAAUCACAAAAGGGGCUUGAAGGAAUUCCGAUCUGAAAUCGCUAUAGGGGGGCUACAAUCGAUUAAUAUUUUUGAGGUAGCUAAACCAGUCCGCCAACCAUAGCCUUUGCCUUGCUUUCAAGCUACUGGAGCCUCUAAAGGAAUAGUUUUCCAUCAUCUCAUGUGCUAAUUUACAUCAGUUGGUUGGUGUUGUUGCUGUUGAAAUUUUGAAGGCCCUGAUAUUAUCCGAGAAGGGAGGACAAAGACAGACGAGCUCCCAGUUGAAGGACUUCUUUUUGAUGAAAAUGAGGGAGAAUACAAUUUGAGGGAUGUAUAUUUAAAGACCAUGGGUCUUGAUGACAAAGACAUGGUGACACUAUCUGGUACAAGAAGCGAAGAUUUAUAAUGUGGAAAAAUAUAAGGAGUUAUGUACAAGAAACGAAUAUUUGAAUCUGGCAACUGCUGCAUCAACAACAAUAGUGGUUGGGGACUACAGAUCGGCGACAAUGAUGACUUGUGGUGGUGGUGCUUGACUUAGAACUGUGAAGAUGGUAGACACCGGGUGUAGAAUAGAGACCUGCAUGUGAGAUUAUUCCGUGAAGAGGCGACGGUGGUGACUACCGGCGAUGGAGAUGACCUCUGGUCACCAGACAAGUGACGAUUGUCAAUGGUAGCAGGUUGGGUUGUGAUUUUGGUAGUAGUGGGUGCUGAUCUAACAAGUUUGGAAUACAAGAGUUAAUAAAAAGAUGAAAUCUUGGACUUGACAGAAAGAUGUAAAGCUGCUUUGAAAUUAGUUAUUGGCUAUGACCAUGGUUUUUAAAAAAAAGGUUGAGGUGUGCUCCUUGAGGUGCGCCUCGAAGUGAGGUGCCCAAAAACGAGUCUUUGGCGGCGCUUCAAGGGGUUAGUUUGUAUGUGCCCCUCAUAGGGCUUAGGCGCUAAAAAAAGCUACACAUCAAGUGCAUCUUAGGGGUUUACCUGUUUGUUUUUUACAUCUCGGUUCACCUCGAGGCGUUUGCCUUGUGAGCGAAGGGAAAACGCCUUGAGAUUUUCUAUUUUAAACCUUGGCUAUGGCUAUGUGGUUUACUGAUUAAAGUUCAAUUUUUGCAAAAAGUUUGGUCGUAUAAGGGCACAUGAAAACCUUGUGUUGAUAUCUUUUAAUGGUUUAUCAAGAACUGGCAUUGAUGACCCGAGAUACGAUACUUGAGUUUGAUUUUAACGAAUAAUCAAGGUUUAGUUUCGUGGCCUCUUUGCAGCAAACAUGGUUGUUUGAAGUUGUUGUAGAGAUGGAGUUCCCGUUCGUGGUUUCAAGUUGCUAAUAUUUUGUUAUACGGUUGUGGACCAGCUCAAUGUGAAAGCAUAAAAGAGAUGCUGGAGUACUUUAGAAGUCAAGUUGGGUCUAAGGCUGGAGUACUUUAGAGAUGCUGGAGUACUUUAGAAGUCAAUUAAGGACAACCCUUAGGAUAGAAAAAAGGCCAAUGAGUAUUCAGGUUGAAUAUUUUUAAUUUGUUGUAUUUAUGAACACGAACUAUAUUAAGAAAAAAAGAAAGUUAUUUUUGUAUUGUGUAAUCAUCAUCUUCUUAGAGUUUUGGCAUGGUUUGAUUUCAUUCUUUGAUGCGCAAUGGAAAGAAUCUUACUUUCACUUAUACUUGUAGCAUUCAUACAAAGUGGUUUAGUCUCGGGUUCAUUGUGUAGCUUUUGAAAGACUUAUGCAACUGGUUAUUUAGUGUUUGUAUACGAAAGCCAAUUGUUUGUGUUG